UUAUGGACCGACAACACGAUCCGAUAGCUCUGGGUGAUUCUCGAUCUUGGUCUAAUGGCUGAGGAAGCUAGCAAUGAUCUGAGAAGCUGGAUCGAGUGCGAUCAAUUGGCUGAGAAAGCUUGCAGCAUGGAUCGGAUGGUUCAGAUGCUUUUGGAGUCCGAUCAGGAGUCUGAUUCUAAUACAGUCUGAGUUUUAGGGCUAUAAAUAGCCAUGUGGAUGGAACAGAGAUAGAGCAGAGGUGUUCAGCAAAAACUUGAGAGACACC
RNAcentral lists this long non-coding RNA (265 nucleotides) under Elaeis guineensis (African oil palm). Its description in RNAcentral is "long non-coding RNA (EGUI_LNC041877)". The record is from RNAcentral. Lineage: Eukaryota; Viridiplantae; Streptophyta; Magnoliopsida; Arecales; Arecaceae.